CUCCGGGACUGCGCGGGAGGAGAGGAACGUGCACGUGCCGCCAUCUUGGCCCCUCAGCCGUCCCGCCACAGCGCACCCAGCCAGGGAAUACAAUCAGCUUUGGGUUAAUAUUUAAAGAGGAGUGGGGAAAUAAUACAUAUGCAGCUUCUCCACACAGCACUUAAAAUGAAAAGAGCCUCCGCAAGUAUUAUUACCUCACUUUGCACCGCUGGGGAACUGCGCCUCCACAGGGUGACACAGGGACGCUCUGUAGGUACAAAAGGCAUGGCGGGAAGUAAAUCCGUGGGAUGCAGUGGAGGGGGCUGAGGCACAUCUCUGUGCAGGUGCUGCAAGAAAUCAAACGGCCUUCCAAGGAAUAGACACACCGUUCACCCUGCCUUUCAAUUUAAACUAAUUUAACCUGCUAUGUUUUCUCAGUUCCACAGAUCUUGUUUUUGUUGCAAUUACUGUCAUGGAGGUAAUAUCACACAGAUGUGCCCAAGGAACCCAAAUCUGUGGGACGACUUGAAGAAUUUCUGGCAGUAUUUUCUUCAUUCAGUCUGAGUUCAGAGGCAGAAGAAAAGCGACUCACUUGAAUUGUGUUGAAGGCAGACGUAGGAAAAGCGGAAGAAAGACUCAGAUGAAAUGGACAGAUGGACUUUAACCACAAAGAUGUCUUCCAGAAUCUAUUAAGAUGCUUUCUUCACUUAUGUCACAAAGAGAUAUUCAUAUACCUUAACAACAUGGUGUCCACAGAUGUGGGAACACACAGUGCCAAAGACACUCCAGUUAACACAAGCUGAGAAUCAGCUUUUGUUCUUUCUCUGAUGUUGGUUGUACUAUAUACUUUAUAUUCUUGAAUGUAAUAAAUCAUUACUAAUCUUUGCCAGCUGAA
Molecule: long non-coding RNA, 874 nt
Organism: Gallus gallus (chicken)
Lineage: Eukaryota; Metazoa; Chordata; Aves; Galliformes; Phasianidae
Exons: 2
Source: RefSeq, a predicted model, not a curated record